GAAAUGCGAUAAGUAAUGUGAAUUGCAGAAUUCAGUGAAUCAUCGAAUCUUUGAACGCACCUUGCGCUCCUUGGUAUUCCUUGGAGCAUGCCUGUUUUGAGUAUCAUGAAAUCUUCAAAGUAAAUCUUUUGUUAACUCAAUUGGUUUCUACUUUGGUAUUGGAGGUCUUUGCAGCUUCACACCUGCUCCUCUUUGUUCAUUAGCUGGAUCUCAGUGUUAUGCUUGGUUCCACUCGGCGUGAUAAGUUAUCUAUCGCUGAGGACACUGUAAAAGGUGGCCAAGGUAAAUGCAGAUGAACCGCUUCUAAUAGUCCAUUGACUUGGACAAUACUUUUAUGAUCUGAUCUCAAAUCAGGUAGGACUACCCGCUGAACUUAAGC
Molecule: unclassified non-coding RNA, 379 nt
Filed under: plant metagenome
Description: partial contains 5.8S ribosomal RNA, internal transcribed spacer 2, and large subunit ribosomal RNA
Rfam family: 5.8S ribosomal RNA (bases 1-106)
Source: RNAcentral